RNAcentral lists this ribosomal RNA (497 nucleotides) under uncultured bacterium. RNAcentral's name for it is "partial 16S ribosomal RNA". It matches the Rfam family "Bacterial small subunit ribosomal RNA", at positions 28 to 507 of the family's 1533-position model. The record is from RNAcentral.
GAUGAACGCUGGCGGCGUGCCUAAUACAUGCAAGUCGAGCGAACGGACGAGAAGCUUGCUUCUCUGAUGUUAGCGGCGGACGGGUGAGUAACACGUGGAUAACCUACCUAUAAGACUGGGAGAACUUCGGGAAACCGGAGCUAAUACCGGAUAAUAUUUUGAACCGCAUGGUUCAAAAGUGAAAGACGGUCUUGCUGUCACUUAUAGAUGGAUCCGCGCUGCAUUAGCUAGUUGGUAAGGUAACGGCUUACCAAGGCAACGAUGCAUAGCCGACCUGAGAGGGUGAUCGGCCACACUGGAACUGAGACACGGUCCAGACUCCUACGGGAGGCAGCAGUAGGGAAUCUUCCGCAAUGGGCGAAAGCCUGACGGAGCAACGCCGCGUGAGUGAUGAAGGUCUUCGAAUCGUAAAACUCUGUUAUUAGGGAAGAGCAUAUGUGUAAGUAACUGUGCACAUCUUGACGGUACCUAAUCAGAAAGCCACGGCUAACUACGUG